This 200-nucleotide long non-coding RNA is filed under the name Elaeis guineensis (African oil palm). Its description in RNAcentral is "long non-coding RNA (EGUI_LNC025107)". The record is from RNAcentral. Lineage: Eukaryota; Viridiplantae; Streptophyta; Magnoliopsida; Arecales; Arecaceae.
UGGGCGAUCGGGUUGAAGGAGCUAAAGGACAAGCGGGAGGCGGCGAAAGAGAAGAUGCCAGAGAUGAAUGAUGGCAGUGGGACUGGGUGAGGCCGAAGAUGGGGAGGAGAUGACUCGGGAUGUAACGCUACGACCGCCCCACUAUUAUCUUACGGUCAUGCACCAUGUGCAAGUAAAUCGGGGCAAAUUCAAGAGCAUAU